GAUGAUGGUGAGUGCCAGAGGCUGGGUCUUUGCGGGCAAGGUGAGUCCUCCAUUCAUUCAACUGGCCUACAAAGUCCCAGUUUCUGACUCAUGUGACC
Molecule: microRNA precursor, 98 nt
Organism: Oryzias javanicus (javanese ricefish)
Lineage: Eukaryota; Metazoa; Chordata; Actinopteri; Beloniformes; Adrianichthyidae
Gene: mir193a-2
Product: microRNA 193a-2
Source: Ensembl